GCCUUCGUAGUGUAGUGGUCAGCACGCUCGACUCACAACCGACAAGUCCGUGGUUCGAUUCCCAGCGCAGGCG
Molecule: non-coding RNA, 73 nt
Organism: Stegodyphus mimosarum
Lineage: Eukaryota; Metazoa; Arthropoda; Arachnida; Araneae; Eresidae
Source: Rfam